GUGUGUUUGGUGUUCGGGGUAAGGUGUGUUUGGUGUUCGGGGUAAGGUGUGUCUGGUGUUCGGGGUAAGGUGUGUUUGGUGUCCGGGCUAAGGGGUGUUUGGUGUUUCUGGGUAAAGUGUGUUUGGUGUCCGGGGUAAGGGGUGUUUGGUGUUUCUGGAUAAAGUGUGUCUGGUGUUCGGGGUAAGUCGUGUCUGGUGUUCGGAGUAAGGUGUGUCUGGUCUUCGGGGUUAGUCGUGUCUGGUGUUCGGAGUAAGGUGUGUCUGGUGUUCGGGGUAAGGUGUGUUUGGUGUCCGGGCUAAGGGGUGUUUGGUGUUUCUGGGUAAAGUGUGUUUGGUGUCCGGGGUAAGGGGUGUUUGGUGUUUCUGGAUAAAGUGUGUCUGGUGUUCGGGGUAAGUCGUGUCUGGUGUUCGGAGUAAGGUGUGUCUGGUCUUCGGGGUUAGUCGUGUCUGGUGUUCGGAGUAAGGUGGGUUUGGUGUUCGGGGUAAGGUGUGUUUGUUGUUUCUGGGUAAAGUGUGUUUGGUGUUCGGGGUAAGGUGUGUCUGGUGUUCGGGGUAAGUUGUGUCUGGUGUUCGGAGUAAGGUGUGUCUGG
This is a long non-coding RNA of Esox lucius (northern pike), 590 nucleotides long. Lineage: Eukaryota; Metazoa; Chordata; Actinopteri; Esociformes; Esocidae. The record is from Ensembl.